This is a long non-coding RNA of Canis lupus familiaris (dog), 984 nucleotides long. RefSeq lists it as uncharacterized. The record is from RefSeq and is a predicted model, not a curated record. The transcript has 5 exons. NCBI's taxonomy places the organism in Eukaryota, Metazoa, Chordata, Mammalia, Carnivora, Canidae.
ACGACUGCUUCUUCUUCUGUCAUUGCCCACAAGGUAUUCAAAAUGCCAGACAUAAAGUCAUUCCUGCACUUGAUAAGAAGGCAUGGAUGUGCCUGGCCAGAAGGAAGACGUGAUAUUCUUAUCAAAGUUCUUGACAUCACUGUGUCCUUGUAAAACAGUAGGUUGAAGAUGCAGCUGAGAUGUCACACCAUGAAGAUGGCAUGCAACUGCUUAUGUGGAAACCUGGCAAAGUACACAGGCAUAAAGAAAAUGUGAUCUUCGGCCAUGCUGUAUGAUUUUGACCUCCAGGGGGCUAGAGCCUGAGUAGCCAAGGCUGUAGACACAGGCAAACUUCCUCAUCCUUUCCUUGGCUUCCGAACAGAAGGGAACCUCUUGAACACUCCUGGCUCAUACAAAUGGAUUGGUUUUAGAUUCCUGUCUCUCUUCCGAUUGGACCGAGGCCACAUAUUCUGAUUCUGUGGAUCAGUAGGACCCAGCCUCCAGUCUCUUGGGCAUCUAUCUAUAAUUAAAAGCCCUGGAUUGGCCAGGCUAUCUCCCAGAAGAAUUGAAGACAAAUGCCUUUUUUAAAUGACUACAAAAUUUGAGAUGCCUGGUUGGCAGUCAGUUAAGUGUCUAACUCUUCAUUUUCUCUGAGUUUGUGAUCUCAGGAUCCUGAAAUCAAGUCCUUGGUUGGGUUUCCCGCCUAGCAGAGUCAGCUUGGAUUCUCUCUCCCUCUCCCUCUGGCUCUCCUGCUUGUACUCUCUCUCUCUCUGUCUCUCUAAAAUAAAUAAAUAAGUCUUUUUUUAAAAUGACUACAAAAUUUUAGGGGUAAUGUGUAACUUUUAUAUAAACUUGGACAGUGAGGUAAAAUUUGCCUAUUCUACUCUGCUGUCUUUCUCUCAUGCAUGCAUACACAUGAAAUGGAAAAAAUGGAGAGACUGAGUGACAUAAAAAUAAAACAUUGUUCUAGGAUACAAUAUCUGUAAAAAAAUUUGACAACAAAAU